ACCAAAUGGGGACCUCUCUCGGAUUCACUAUCUAGAACAAGAAAGAAGAGGAUACGAGGUGUUAAUACACCAAAACAGCCAGCCAACAACAAGUUUAGCAGCACAAGAUGAAGCUCCACAAUAUUACAAUAGCAACAAGAACAAACGGGUUACAUUAACAACACAAGAAGCCGAAACUAAAACAAGAUACAAGAUAGGUAGUUAGACAAGUGUUGAUGUAGUCUUAACAACCCAAGAGCAUAUUUCACUCUUGGACCUUUAAAACUUCACACAACAAACACCUAACUCUUACAAUUGACAUAAGAAAGGUGUCCACCACCCAAGCACCAACGUAUCAAGCAAAAAGCAACACACAAGAGAAUCCACCCUUAUAUUAUGUCCUAGUUUCAAUUGGACUCUCUCUCACUCUAUGAGAAGUAUUCUUCAAUAAUAAUGAUCAACUAAAGAAAUAAACCCUACAAUGUUCUAUUUAUACUACAUUACAAUAAUAGAAAAAAUGUCAAAAGGGUCCUUUAGUGACUAGUCUUCAAAAAAACUCAAAAGUGUCAUGAUCAUGAUCAUACUUGUAUCAUCCUCUCCAUCUUGAGAGGAAUUUUCCCACAAAUUCAUAACCUCACCCCUUUUACAAAGGCACUUCACAAUCUCCUUCACACGGCCACACAUCUUCUACAUCUUCCUCGCCUUGCAUUUUAACCUCUUUUUGCUCUCCAUCUUGAGGCUUGCCAUCAACCUUAGCCGAUUCAAUUACUACUUCUUCGCCAAGAUAGUACAAUUUUCCCUCCCUUAGGAUCACGUUCCUCCGAUUUGGGCACUCACUAGCCUUGUGCCCCCUCCCUUGGCAUUUGAAGCAUUGAAAUCCCUUGGGAUUGGAAGUAGAAUUCAAUUUACCUUCAUACCUUGGAGGAUGUUUUUGGAAAACCUUGGUGGCCUCAGGUUGGGUAGCCAUGAAUGGGUUAUCUUUGAGCUCCCUCUCAACCUCUAAAACUGCAUGGAAGAUGCCAUCUAUGGUGUCGAAUUUGUGUAGCGUCAUGCGAGUGGAGAUGUCCUUGUUUAACCCAACCUUGAAGCCCACAAUGUCAUGACUUACUUGCUCGCCUUGGUGGUCAAGUUUCAAUAUCAAUUGUUGAAAUUCAUCAUAGUAAGCCAUGACACUCUUUUUCCCUGGCCUCAAAUUGUACAAUUUAGCAAGGAGCUUAUGCCUAUAAGUCUCAGGCAAGUACCUUUGUCACAUAAGGUUCUUCAACCAAAAUCAAGGAGGAGGUUGUCCCUUAAUCAUCCCAUUCCCAAACCAUUUAACAUACUCCCACCAUGUAUUAGCAUACCCUUCGAAGUGAGUUAUAGCAUAACAACUUUUUUUUUCUUCGGUGAGAUCAUUAAGUUGGAAGAUUUUGUCACAAGAUCACUCUCAUGCAAGGUAGGCUUCAGGAUCACUCUCACCUUUGAAAACGGGAAGGCUGACUUUGAUGGAAUUGAGACCUACAUCUCGAUUUGGGUGGCCAUCUCUCACCGCUCGACCUAACUCCCCAUGUCUACGCCUCAUUCUUUCUUUCCUCAAGUAAACAUCAUUAUACUGCCCAUAACCAUCAUAUUGUCCUUCCCUAACAUAGCCCUCAACAUGGAUGGGUCUAUUUGGGUUAAAUGGAGCUUGUAGAGGCGGGAUUGGAUUUGGAUUGUGAGGUCUUUGGUCAAGUGGAGUUUGGAUAGAAGGGUUCGGGUUUGGUGAUGGUGAUGGUAUUUGGGUUCCAAGCCCUUCUUGUUGGAAUUGGUGGAGUGGAGGAUGGCUUGGUCUAUUUUGUUCUCGGCUUCGGGAGUAAAGAUUGGUUUGAUUUAUGGCAAUUGGUGUAUAUUGCAUUUAGUGCAAGGUCUCGGGAGUAUUAGUUGGGGAAAUGUUUUGAGAGGUAGAAGGUCGACUCCUUUGGCUUUCCACAUGUUCUAAUCUCCCACUCAUUGAUGCCACAUCCGUAUCUAAUUUCUCAAGAACCACAUUUAACCUAGCCACAUCUUGGGACAUAGUUUCAAGGCGAGCCAAAAUGAGAUUGAUGGCAUUAUUAUCCAUUGUUUGAGGAUUUGAAGCCUCGGGUUCCAUUGUGGUGGUAUCGAAAAUAACCCUUCAAGUUGCGGUCCAAUCAAGAUACCAAAUCAGUCCUCAAUGUCACACACAAUAAUACAAUGCAAAACCUACAACACAAAACACACGUUAUUUCAAAACAACCUCCCACAAUGACAUCCCACCUUCAAGUUUCUUCAAACUCAAGCUCAACAUUGGUGAAUGGCUCAAACAACCUCAAAUUUAGCUCAAAUUCGAACCCUAUACUCCUAUAGUGUUAGAGAACACAAAUCUAACACUAAAAACACAAGAAAAAUGCAAAAUCAAAAACUCAAAAUUUGACCUAAGGUCAAAAACGGGUUUAGUAUAUUUUUGGGGGAUUUUCGAUUUUGACACUUUUUUUAUUGGGAUUUUCAAUUUCUAUACUCUAAUAGUGUUAGGGAACAAGAUCUAACACUAGAAACACAAAAAAAUCAAGUUUUUUUAAAGACCCUAAAAACGUGAACUGUAACUUUUUUUUUCAAGAUAACAAUCCCAAAAUUGAUUUUGUUGGAACAAAAUCAAACCUUGCUCUGAUACCAAAUGAUACGGAACAAACAAGGGAACACAAAAUCACACCCUAAAACAGUUCAUAAAUCACAAUAAAUCGUGGACCAAAUGGGGACCUCUCUCGGAUUCACUAUCUAGAACAAGAAAGAAGAGGAUACAAGGUGUUAAUACACCAAAACAGCCAGCCAACAACAAGUUUAGUAGAACAAGAUGAAGCUCCACAAUAUUACAAUAGCAACAAGAACAAACAGGUUACAUUAACAACACAAGAAGCCGAAACUAAAACAAGAUACAAGAUAGGUAGUUAGACAAGUGUUGAUGUAGUCUUAACAACCCAAGAGUAUAUUCCACUCUUGGACCUUUAAAAC
Molecule: long non-coding RNA, 2964 nt
Filed under: Capsicum annuum
Lineage: Eukaryota; Viridiplantae; Streptophyta; Magnoliopsida; Solanales; Solanaceae
Description: long non-coding RNA (CANN_LNC008828)
Source: RNAcentral